This 71-nucleotide microRNA precursor is filed under the name Populus trichocarpa (black cottonwood). Its description in RNAcentral is "miR472b stem-loop (ptc-MIR472b)". Its record names the gene ptc-MIR472b. Lineage: Eukaryota; Viridiplantae; Streptophyta; Magnoliopsida; Malpighiales; Salicaceae. The record is from miRBase by way of RNAcentral.
UUACUGGAUGGGUGAGUGGGGAAGAUAACUAAGCUCUGUUUGUUAUUUUCCCAACUCCACCCAUCCCAUAG